Molecule: ribosomal RNA, 485 nt
Filed under: uncultured Actinomycetes bacterium
Lineage: Bacteria; Bacillati; Actinomycetota; Actinomycetes
Description: uncultured actinobacterium partial 16S ribosomal RNA
Source: RNAcentral
CACGUAGUUGGCCGCACCUUCUUCUGAAAGUACCGUCAGUUUCGUUCCUUCUGAAAGCGGUUUACAACCCGAGGGCCUUCUUCCCGCACGCGGCGUUGUUGCAUCAGGCUUUCGCCCAUUGUGCAAGAUUCCCCACUGCUGCCUCCCGUAGGAGUCUGGGCCGUGUCUCAGUCCCAGUGUGGCUGAUCAUCCUCUCAGACCAGCUACCCGUCGAUGCCUUGGUAGGCCAUUACCCCACCAACAAGCUGAUAGGCCGCGAGGCUCUCCCGAUCCAGUAACCCUUUCGUCAGUACUCCAUGCGAAGUUCCGACGUCAUCCGGUAUUAGCAGUCGUUCCAACUUGUUACUCCCAGAGACCCGGGACAAGUUCCUCACGUUGUUACCGCCUACCCGUUCGCCACUAGAUCUUCAUCAGUUAUUGCUACUGAAUGGAUCUCGUUCGACUUGCAUGUGUUAAGCACGCCGCCAGCGUUCUCCGUGAGCCGA